GACGAACGCUGGCGGCGUGCUUAACACAUGCAAGUCGAACGGAAAGGCCCUGCUUUUGUGGGGUGCUCGAGUGGCGAACGGGUGAGUAACACGUGAGUAACCUGCCCUUGACUGUGGGAUAACUUCAGGAAACUGGGGCUAAUACCGGAUAGGAGCUCCUGCUGCAUGGGGGGGGUUGGAAAGUUUCGGCGGUUGGGGAUGGACUCGCGGCUUAUCAGCUUGUUGGUGGGGUAGUGGCUUACCAAGGCUUUGACGGGUAGCCGGCCUGAGAGGGUGACCGGCCACAUUGGGACUGAGAUACGGCCCAGACUCCUACGGGAGGCAGCAGUGGGGAAUAUUGCACAAUGGGCGGAAGCCUGAUGCAGCAACGCCGCGUGCGGGAUGACGGCCUUCGGGUUGUAACCCGCUUUCGCCUGUGACGAAGCGUGAGUGACGGUAAUGGGUAAAGAAGCACCGGCUAACUACGUG
RNAcentral lists this ribosomal RNA (468 nucleotides) under uncultured bacterium. RNAcentral's name for it is "partial 16S ribosomal RNA". It matches the Rfam family "Bacterial small subunit ribosomal RNA", at positions 28 to 507 of the family's 1533-position model. The record is from RNAcentral.